CUAGCGACCCAAUCUGGCCCUACUCUUCUGCCGUAAUUCGCGUCUUCCAGACCUUCCUAUCUAGGGUCAUGUCCUCGGUAAGCUGUAACUGUUCCAAGUCCAGGAAAUUACAUGGUAUAGCCCCAAUAGUAGCUCAAGAGAUGAGGAUUGCCCAAGUCCAGAAAAUUACAUGGUAUAGCCCCAAUAGAAGGUGGCUUUGGAUUUUUGACCCCAAUAAGAAAAAUAUUUAAAGACUAGUCUUCCUUCCUUUUUAAGUAUAGUACAAGUACAAUUUUGCCCCUCUACACCUCAAAUAUUUUUAAACUUUCCAUACUCGCUUCUCUCAAAUUUUAUUUUUAUUUUUGUUAUUUUCACUUUUUAUUUUUCCUUUAACUUUAUUUCAUGUUUAAAUUCAUUUGUCUCAACCUUUAUUUUUUUCUCUUUUUCUUUUUUCUCAAAUAUUAUCUAUUUCUUCAUUUCUUUAUUUUCUUUUUUUAAUUCAUUUGUCUCAACCUUUAUUUUUUGUUUUUAUCAUUUCUCUUUUUUCCUCAUUUUUUCAAACUUUAUUUUUAUUUUCGUCUCAUUUUUGUUUUUCUCAAUUUUUCAAUUCUUCGCUUUUUUCUUAAUCUUUAUUUUUUUCUUUUUUUUCUCAAUCUCUUCUUUUAUUUCUCUAUUUUGUUUGAUCUCUUUUUUAUUUUUUUCAACUUCUAUUAUAUUUUGCUAAUAAAUACAAAAUUGGAUAAUCCGCCAAGGGAUCUUCUUUUUUAACAUCAAAGCAAAUUUAAGGACAUGAAUUGUCUUAGGAAAUUCUUUGGAAUAAGUUUUGCCUCUAAGGCAAAAAAUUAUAAAACAACUCAUAAAUCAAGGCACAAUGUGGUAGUGUCAAAUCUUGUUUGUGGAGCAUAACUUGUUAUUUGAAAAUCCUUGAGUUAAGUCUUGGUUUUAAGGCAAGAGUUAUAAAACAUCUCAUAAAUCAAAAAACAAUGUGGUAGUGUCAACACUUGUCCAUAGGCAUAACUUGUCGGAUAAGUCUUGCCUCUAAGACAAGAGUUAUAGAAUAUCUCAUAAAUUAAGACACGAUGUGGUAGUGUCAAUUCUUGCCUAUGGAGCGUAACUUGCUGUUUGAAAGUCCUUAGACUAAUUCGAACCUUUAAGGCAAGAGUUACAAACAUCUCACAAAUCAAGACAUCGUGUGGUAGUGUCAACUCUUACCCAUGGGGCAUAACUUGUUGUUUAAAAGUCAUUGAUUUAUAAAACAUCUCAAAAAUCAAGACACAAUGUGGUAGUGUCAAAUCUUGUCCGU
This 1282-nucleotide long non-coding RNA is filed under the name Capsicum annuum. RNAcentral's name for it is "long non-coding RNA (CANN_LNC001937)". The record is from RNAcentral. Lineage: Eukaryota; Viridiplantae; Streptophyta; Magnoliopsida; Solanales; Solanaceae.